ACUAGUGAUUGUCAAGAAUAAAAAUCUUGGCGAAUAAGUGGUGGGUAAGACCGGUGCCAGCAGCCGCGGUAACACCGGCGCCACGAGUGGGGAUCAUGUUUAUUGGGCCUAAAGCGUCCGUAGCCGGUUUGAUAAAUCUUUUGUGAAAUUGUCGUGCUUAACACAACAGCGUGCAAAAGACACUAUCAGACUUGGAACUGGGAGGAGUCAGAGGUAUUCUGGGGGGAGCGGUAAAAUGUUAUAAUCCUCAGAGGACCACCUGUGGCGAAGGCGUCUGACUAGAACAGCUUCGACGGUGAGGGACGAAAGCCAGGGGAGCAAAACGGAUUAGAUACCCGAGUAGUCCUGGCUGUAAACGCUGCGAGCAAGGUGUUGCAUAUCCUCCGUGGAUGUGCAGUAUCGAAACGAAGGUGUUAAGCUCGCCGCCUGGGAAGUAUAGUCGCAAGACCGAAACUUAAAGGAAUUGGCGGGGGAGCACCACAAGGGGUGCGGCGUGCGGUUUAAUCUAACUCAACACAGAGAAUCUCACCAGCAGCGACGGCAGAAUGAAGGUCAGAUUGAAGGUUUUACCAGACAAGCCGAGAGGUGGUGCAUGGCCGUCGUCAGCUCGUGCCGUAAGGUGUCCUGUUAAGUCAGGCAACGAGCGAGACCUGUACCUACACUUGCUAGCGAAUCUUUUAAGAUGUUCGAGCACAGUGUAGGGACUGCCUUCGAAAGGAGGAGGAAGGUGCAGGCUACGGUAGGUCUGUAUGCCCCGAAUCUGCUGGGCUACACGCGCGCAACAAGGGUAAGGACAAUGGGACGCGACUCUGAAAAGAGAAGCUAAUCCUCGAAACCUUAUCUAAGUCCAGAUUGAGGAUUGUAACUCAUCCUCAUGACGAUGGAAUCCCUAGUAACCAGAAGUCAUCAGCUUCUAGUGAAUAUGUCCCUGCUCCUUGCACGAAUUCGCCGAAUCCCGCG
This 960-nucleotide ribosomal RNA is filed under the name uncultured crenarchaeote. Its description in RNAcentral is "bacterial SSU rRNA". It matches the Rfam family "Archaeal small subunit ribosomal RNA", at positions 402 to 1364 of the family's 1478-position model. Lineage: Archaea; Thermoproteati; Thermoproteota. The record is from RNAcentral.